Transfer RNA from Cavia porcellus (domestic guinea pig), 71 nucleotides. It matches the Rfam family "tRNA". Rfam says of the family: Transfer RNA (tRNA) molecules are approximately 80 nucleotides in length. Their secondary structure includes four short double-helical elements and three loops (D, anti-codon, and T loops). NCBI's taxonomy places the organism in Eukaryota, Metazoa, Chordata, Mammalia, Rodentia, Caviidae. The record is from Rfam.
GGGUAUUGAGCUAAGUGGUCAAAGUACCUGCCUGGCAAGCAGAAGGUCAGGACUUCAAUCCCUCAUACCAA